GGUUUGAUCCUGGCUCAGAUUGAACGCUGGCAGGAUGCUUUACAUGCAAGUCGAACGGCAGCACGGACUUCGGUCUGGUGGCGAGUGGCGAACAGGUGAGUAAUGUAUCGGAACGUGCCUAGUAGCGGGGGAUAACUACGCGAAAGCGUAGCUAAUACCGCAUACGCCCUUCGGGGGGAAGCGGGGGACCUUCGGGCCUCUCGCACUAUUAGAGCGGCCGAUAUCGGAUUAGCUAGUUGGUGGGGUAUUAACGAGCUCACCAAGGCGACGUCCGUAGCUGGUUUGAGAGGACGACCAGCCACUGGGACUGAGACACGGCCCAGACUCCUACGGGAGGCAGCAGUGGGGAAUUUUGGACAAUGGGGAAACCCUGAUCCAGCCAUCCCGCGUGUGCGAUGAAGGCCUUCGGGUUGUAAAGCACUUUUGGCAGGAAAGAAACGGCACGGGAUAAUACCCCGUGCAACUGACGGUACCUGCAGAAUAAGCACCGGCUAACUACGUGCCAGCAGCCGCGGUAAUACGUAGGGUGCAAGCGUUAAUCGGAAUUACUGGGCGUAAAGCGUGCGCAGGCGGUUCGGAAAGAAGAUGUGAAAUCCCAGAAGCUUAACUUUGGAACUGCAUUUUUUAACUACCGAGCUAGAGUGUCAUCAGAGGAGGUGGAAUUCCCGCGAUGUAUGAAGUGGAAGUAAACAGAUAUGCGGAGGAACACCGAUGGCGAAGGCAGCCUCCUGGAAUAACCACUGACGCUCAUGCACACAACGUGGGAGCAAACAGGAUUAGAUACCUGGCUGAAGUCCACGCCUAAACGAUGCCAACUAUUCUGUUGGGCCUUCGGGCCUUGGUAGCGCAGCUAACGCGUGAAGUUGUUGCGCUGAAGAAGUGCGUCUGGACAAAACCCAGAAGAAUUGACAGGACCCGCACAAGCGGUGGAUGAUGUGGAUUAAUUCGAUGCAACAUAAGCAACCCGCCCUCACAUGACAUGUCGCGGAAUCCAGAAGAUUUGGGAGUGCUCGCAAGAGAACCGGAACACAGGUGCUGCAUGGCUGUCGUCAGCUCGUGUCGUGAAGAUGUUGGGUUAAGUCCCGCAACGAGCGCAACCCUUGUCAUUAGUUGCUACGAAGGGCACUCUGGUAAGGACUGCUGGUGACAAACCGGAGGAAGGUGAGGACGUCAAGUCCUCAUGGCCCUUAUGGGUAGGGCUUCACAUCAUACAAUGGUCGGGACAGAGGGUCGCCAACCCGCGAGGGGAAUAAUCCCGAGGCGAUCGUAGUCCGGAUCCGCAGUCUGCAGCACCGACUGCGUGAAGUCGGAAUCGCUAGUAAUCGCGGAUCAGCAUGUCGCGGUGAACCACACGUUCCCGGGUCUUGUACACACCGCCCGUCACACCAUGGGAGUGAGUUUUACCAGAAGUAGUUAGCCUAACCGGCAUGCGGGAAGGCGAUUACCACGGCAGGAUUCAUGACUGGGGUGAAGUCGUAACAAGGUAA
This 1487-nucleotide ribosomal RNA is filed under the name uncultured Bordetella sp. RNAcentral describes it as "partial 16S-23S ribosomal RNA intergenic spacer". It matches the Rfam family "Bacterial small subunit ribosomal RNA". The record is from RNAcentral. Lineage: Bacteria; Pseudomonadati; Pseudomonadota; Betaproteobacteria; Burkholderiales; Alcaligenaceae.